CAGCCGCCGCGGGAAAACGAAGGGUGCAAGCGUUAAUCGGAAUUACUGGGCGUAAAGCGCGCGUAGGUGGUUUGGUAAGAUGGAUGUGAAAUCCCCGGGCUCAACCUGGGAACUGCAUCCAUAACUGCCUGACUAGAGUACGGUAGAGGGUGGUGGAAUUUCCUGUGUAGCGGUGAAAUGCGUAGAUAUAGGAAGGAACACCAGUGGCGAAGGCGACCACCUGGACUGAUACUGACACUGAGGUGCGAAAGCGUGGGGAGCAAACAGGAUUAGAUACCCCAGUAGUCCCUGUCUCUUAUAC
This 301-nucleotide ribosomal RNA is filed under the name uncultured bacterium. Its description in RNAcentral is "partial 16S ribosomal RNA". It matches the Rfam family "Bacterial small subunit ribosomal RNA", at positions 509 to 807 of the family's 1533-position model. The record is from RNAcentral.